This 70-nucleotide transfer RNA is filed under the name Marmota monax (woodchuck). Its description in RNAcentral is "tRNA.Ala". The stretch from base 5 to 65 matches the Rfam family "tRNA", at positions 6 to 65 of the family's 71-position model. Rfam says of the family: Transfer RNA (tRNA) molecules are approximately 80 nucleotides in length. The record is from RNAcentral. Lineage: Eukaryota; Metazoa; Chordata; Mammalia; Rodentia; Sciuridae.
GGGCUGGGGCUCAGUGGUAGAGCGCUUGCCUAGCAUGUGUGAGGCCCUGGGUUCAAUUCUCAGCACCACA